RNAcentral lists this ribosomal RNA (439 nucleotides) under uncultured bacterium. RNAcentral's name for it is "partial 16S ribosomal RNA". It matches the Rfam family "Bacterial small subunit ribosomal RNA", at positions 338 to 795 of the family's 1533-position model. The record is from RNAcentral.
CCUACGGGUGGCAGCAGUGGGGGAUAUUGCACAAUGGGCGAAAGCCUGAUGCAGCGAAGUCGCGUGAGGGAAGACGGUCCUCGGAUUGUUAACCUUUGUCUUUGGGGAAGCAGAUGACGGUACCCAUAGAGGACGCUCCGGCUAACUACGUGCCAGCAGCCGCGGUAAUACGUAGGGAGCGAGCGUUGUCCGGAAUUACUGGGUGUAAAGGGGGCGUAGGCGGGGAUGCAAGUUGGAUGUUAAAACUAGCGGCUCAACCGGUAAUUGCAACUAAAACUGGAACUCUUGAGUGAAGGAGAGGCAUGCGGAAUGCGUGGUGUAGCGGUGAAAUGCGUAGAUAUUAGGAAGAACACCAGUGGCGAAGGCAGCCUACUGGGCUUUAACUGACGCUGAGGCUCGAAAGCGUGGGGAGCAAACAGGAUUAGAUACCCCUGUAGUC